This 784-nucleotide ribosomal RNA is filed under the name uncultured bacterium. RNAcentral's name for it is "SSU rRNA". It matches the Rfam family "Bacterial small subunit ribosomal RNA", at positions 70 to 853 of the family's 1533-position model. The record is from RNAcentral.
CACAGUGUAGCAAUACAUGGGUGGCGACCGGCAAACGGGUGCGGAACACGUACGCAACCUUCCUUCAGGCGGGGAAUAGCCCAGAGAAAUUUGGAUUAAUACCCCAUAAUAUUUUGAGAUGGCAUCAUCUUAUUAUUAAAGCUACGGCACCUGGAGAUGGGCGUGCGGCUGAUUAGGUAGUUGACGGGGUAAUGGCCCACCAAGCCUACGAUCAGUAGCUGAUGUGAGAGCAUGAUCAGCCACACGGGCACUGAGACACGGGCCCGACUCCUACGGGAGGCAGCAGUAAGGAAUAUUGGUCAAUGGACGCAAGUCUGAACCAGCCAUGCCGCGUGGAGGAUGAAGGUCCUCUGGAUUGUAAACUUCUUUUAUCUGGGACGAAAAAAGGGUUUUCUAACUCGUCUGACGGUACCAGAUGAAUAAGCACCGGCUAACUCCGUGCCAGCAGCCGCGGUAAUACGGAGGGUGCAAGCGUUAUCCGGAUUCACUGGGUUUAAAGGGUGCGUAGGCGGGCAUUUAAGUCAGUGGUGAAAUACCUGAGCUUAACUUGGGAACUGCCAUUGAUACUAUUUGUCUUGAAUGUCGUGGAGGUUAGCGGAAUAUGUCAUGUAGCGGUGAAAUGCUUAGAUAUGACAUAGAACACCUAUUGCGAAAGCAGCUAACUACGCGAAUAUUGACGCUGAGGCACGAAAGCGUGGGGAUCAAACAGGAUUAGAUACCCUGGUAGUCCACGCCCUAAACGAUGAUUACUCGACAUUAGCGAUACACUGUUAGUGUCUGAGCG